GGGUUGUGAGGUUAAGCGACUAAGCGUACACGGUGGAUGCCCUGGCAGUCAGAGGCGAUGAAGGGCGUGCUAAUCUGCGAUAAGCGCCGGUAAGGUGAUAUGAACCGUUAUAACCGGCGAUACCCGAAUGGGGAAACCCAGUGUGACUCGUCACACUAUCAUUAACUGAAUCCAUAGGUUAAUGAGGCGAACCGGGGGAACUGAAACAUCUAAGUACCCCGAGGAAAAGAAAUCAACCGAGAUUCCCCCAGUAGCGGCGAGCGAACGGGGAGGAGCCCAGAGCCUGAAUCAGCAUGUGUGUUAGUGGAAGCGUCUGGAAAGGCGCGCGAUACAGGGUGACAGCCCCGUACACAAAAGCGCAUGUGCUGUGAGCUCGAUGAGUAGGGCGGGACACGUGGUAUCCUGUCUGAAUAUGGGGGGACCAUCCUCCAAGGCUAAAUACUCCUGACUGACCGAUAGUGAACCAGUACCGUGAGGGAAAGGCGAAAAGAACCCCGGCGAGGGGAGUGAAAAAGAACCUGAAACCGUGUACGUACAAGCAGUGGGAGCCCCACCACUAAGCCAGUGGUGAACUCCACAUACGCAUCCUUUGCUGAGGAUACGGUUAACGGAGCGAAAGCGACGUUCAACCUCAAAAGAAGCAGAGGGGGCUUAGUGGUGGGGUGACUGCGUACCUUUUGUAUAAUGGGUCAGCGACUUAUAUUCUGUAGCAAGGUUAACCGAAUAGGGGAGCCGGAGGGAAACCGAGUCUUAACCGGGCGUUAAGUUGCAGGGUAUAGACCCGAAACCCGGUGAUCUAGCCAUGGGCAGGUUGAAGGUUGGGUAACACUAACUGGAGGACCGAACCGACUAAUGUUGAAAAAUUAGCGGAUGACCUGUGGCUGGGGGUGAAAGGCCAAUCAAACCGGGAGAUAGCUGGUUCUCCCCGAAAGCUAUUUAGGUAGCGCCUCGUGAAUUCAUCUCCGGGGGUAGAGCACUGUUUCGGCUAGGGGGCCAUCCCGGCUUACCAACCCGAUGCAAACUGCGAAUACCGGAGAAUGUUAUCACGGGAGACACACGGCGGGUGCUAACGUCCGUCGUGAAGAGGGAAACAACCCAGACCGCCAGCUAAGGUCCCAAAGUCAUGGUUAAGUGGGAAACGAUGUGGGAAGGCCCAGACAGCCAGGAUGUUGGCUUAGAAGCAGCCAUCAUUUAAAGAAAGCGUAAUAGCUCACUGGUCGAGUCGGCCUGCGCGGAAGAUGUAACGGGGCUAAACCAUGCACCGAAGCUGCGGCAGCGAACGUAUCACUUAAAGCGAUUCAGCGGAUGACGAUUGACGGAGCGAAGCGACGUCAAAGCGUAUACAAAGUCGAGUCGGUUUAAGGAUACGUUCGUUGGGUAGGGGAGCGUUCUGUAAGCCUGUGAAGGUGUGUCGUGAGGCAUGCUGGAGGUAUCAGAAGUGCGAAUGCUGACAUAAGUAACGAUAAAGCGGGUGAAAAGCCCGCUCGCCGGAAGACCAAGGGUUCCUGUCCAACGUUAAUCGGGGCAGGGUGAGUCGACCCCUAAGGCGAGGCCGAAAGGCGUAGUCGAUGGGAAACGGGUUAAUAUUCCCGUACUUGGUGUUACUGCGAAGGGGGGACGGAGAAGGCUAUGUUGGCCGGGCGACGGUUGUCCCGGUUUAAGCGUGUAGGCUGGUUUUCCAGGCAAAUCCGGAAAAUCAAGGCUGAGGCGUGAUGACGAGGCACUACGGUGCUGAAGCAACAAAUGCCCUGCUUCCAGGAAAAGCCUCUAAGCAUCAGGUAACAUCAAAUCGUACCCCAAACCGACACAGGUGGUCAGGUAGAGAAUACCAAGGCGCUUGAGAGAACUCGGGUGAAGGAACUAGGCAAAAUGGUGCCGUAACUUCGGGAGAAGGCACGCUGACACGUAGGUGAAGUGAUUUACUCACGGAGCUGAAGUCAGUCGAAGAUACCAGCUGGCUGCAACUGUUUAUUAAAAACACAGCACUGUGCAAACACGAAAGUGGACGUAUACGGUGUGACGCCUGCCCGGUGCCGGAAGGUUAAUUGAUGGGGUCAGCGCAAGCGAAGCUCCUGAUCGAAGCCCCGGUAAACGGCGGCCGUAACUAUAACGGUCCUAAGGUAGCGAAAUUCCUUGUCGGGUAAGUUCCGACCUGCACGAAUGGCGUAAUGAUGGCCAGGCUGUCUCCACCCGAGACUCAGUGAAAUUGAACUCGCUGUGAAGAUGCAGUGUACCCGCGGCAAGACGGAAAGACCCCGUGAACCUUUACUAUAGCUUGACACUGAACAUUGAGCCUUGAUGUGUAGGAUAGGUGGGAGGCUUUGAAGCGUGGACGCCAGUCUGCGUGGAGCCGACCUUGAAAUACCACCCUUUAAUGUUUGAUGUUCUAACGUGGACCCGUAAUCCGGGUUGCGGACAGUGUCUGGUGGGUAGUUUGACUGGGGCGGUCUCCUCCUAAAGAGUAACGGAGGAGCACGAAGGUUGGCUAAUCCUGGUCGGACAUCAGGAGGUUAGUGCAAUGGCAUAAGCCAGCUUGACUGCGAGCGUGACGGCGCGAGCAGGUGCGAAAGCAGGUCAUAGUGAUCCGGUGGUUCUGAAUGGAAGGGCCAUCGCUCAACGGAUAAAAGGUACUCCGGGGAUAACAGGCUGAUACCGCCCAAGAGUUCAUAUCGACGGCGGUGUUUGGCACCUCGAUGUCGGCUCAUCACAUCCUGGGGCUGAAGUAGGUCCCAAGGGUAUGGCUGUUCGCCAUUUAAAGUGGUACGCGAGCUGGGUUUAGAACGUCGUGAGACAGUUCGGUCCCUAUCUGCCGUGGGCGCUGGAGAACUGAGGGGGCUGCUCCUAGUACGAGAGGACCGGAGUGGACGCAUCACUGGUGUUCGGGUUGUCAUGCCAAUGGCACUGCCCGGUAGCUAAAUGCGGAAGAGAUAAGUGCUGAAAGCAUCUAAGCACGAAACUUGCCCCGAGAUGAGUUCUCCCUGAGACUUAGAGUCUCCUGAAGGAACGUUGAAGACGACGACGUUGAUAGGCCGGGUGUGUAAGCGCAGCGAUGCGUUGAGCUAACCGGUACUAAUGAACCGUGAGGCUUAACCUUACAACGCCGAAG
RNAcentral lists this ribosomal RNA (3106 nucleotides) under Salmonella enterica subsp. enterica serovar Ouakam str. SA20034636. RNAcentral describes it as "bacterial LSU rRNA". It matches the Rfam family "Bacterial large subunit ribosomal RNA". The record is from RNAcentral. Lineage: Bacteria; Pseudomonadati; Pseudomonadota; Gammaproteobacteria; Enterobacterales; Enterobacteriaceae.